UCAGGGAUUAUAGUGCUCUUUGAUUCUUCAGCUGUAGAAAAUGCAUUGGAAUUACAGGUCAUGUGUAGAUUUGGUCGCAGCAGUAGAAGAUUGAGAACAAGGAAGCUAUUGAUAAACUGCUUCUCUCUCACCAUACCAGCUAUUCUGUUUGCAGUGUUUGGAGGAGGAAAAGGCUGAAGGCUGGCUGCCCAUCCCUCUCUUAGGUGGGGUCAGCAGAUUCACGAGGGAGGAGGCUGACUUUUUUUUUUUUUCCAACACAGGCUUAAAAGUUGAGAUCAGCUGGGACCCUCAAGCUAACAGUCCCCAUCUGGAUCCUGGAUGUUCUCAGUUAAGGCCCCUCAGAUUUGGAAUUUGCCUUCAGUUUGGUGUUCAUUGUCCACAAACACACACAUCUGCAUGUCUAAUGCAGCAGGCACAAGUGAUGCUGAACAGGAUCCUGGACAUGGGCAAUGUUCUGCAUACAGCAAAGAGGAUGAGAACCCCCAAGAAGGGACAAGAGAAGAAGAGCAAUCUUGCUGUGAAUUGUUUCCCUCAGUGCCCCCUAGUUCAGGUGCAAACUGUGUAUGGUCUGGAGAAUAUAUGUUCUCUUCACAUAUUUUAUUUCUUCCAUUCCCUGCCUUGAAUAAGCCAUCAGAGAUAGUGGGUAUGCUCUGCCCCUCCCUGCUGUACACCUCACAUAUAAGGACAUCAUGUCAGCAAGCCAGGAGUAGCACCCAAGUCUUAGCUUGUCUACAUCUAGGCGAGGUGCCCAGGGAAUCUACUUUAAUGAGCAGUGUGCCAUCCUUGUCAGUGAUAAUAGCCCUGCUCCUACACAAAGAUUGCUCACCCGGCCUCUGCAUCCCACCCAACAUGUUUGCCUUAUAACCUUUCAUUCCCUUCCAGUAAUGUUCUCUGGGCUUAUGUUGCUCCCUUUGUGGGGCAGGGGAGUUAAUGGUGUAUGGGGCAGUGAGUACAUUUUUUUUAGGAUGUUUAGGGAGGGGUUGACUGGAGCUAAUAUUGUGUGUCAUCCCUGUUCUGAGUUCUCUAGUUAAGCCCAAAUUACAGGUGAAAAUGUUUCUUUGAGUGGGGGUUGGACCAUUUGGACAGUCCCCAGUAAUUUAAAAGCAGUUUGGCCUAUUGCUUUCUAUUAUCCCUUUGUUCUGGGUGGAUGCAUAGAGUUUUGGUAUGGGUAGGAAACGGUGAACCCAUGUAUCCCACCUGUGUGUGUAAUUUCAGCCCUGUAUAGGGAAACAUGUGAAAAACAGUUGCUCCUCCUGACUUAUGCCAUGUUGUCAACUCUCACAAUAUUAUUGUGGUUCUUGGGAGAUUUGGUGUUUUCUUAGUCUGCGUUCCUGGAUGCAUGUGAUUAAGUAAGACUCUCUCUGCAUUUAUUUACAAAAAAUGUAAGUUUCUAGACAUCAUGACUGUGGAGAAAAGCUUGAAAAUGUGACCCAAGUGUAUCCUAGAGUCUAAAAAACAGAUGGCAAAUGAAAACAACUCAAUAUGUGUUAUUUUUU
Molecule: long non-coding RNA, 1496 nt
Organism: Chelonia mydas (Green sea turtle)
Lineage: Eukaryota; Metazoa; Chordata; Testudines; Cheloniidae
Exons: 3
Source: RefSeq, a predicted model, not a curated record